UUAUUUUAUUUUAAACAAAAUGGUGUCAUUUUGCUCCCUGUCUUCUAUCCCUUAUUUUUCUCCUAAACCAUAACCCCAAAAUCCCUUAUUUUAUCCCUAAAUCCCAAAUCUCUUAUUUUUUCCCCGUAAAAAUUGGAAUCCCAAAAUUAAAAACCCCAAAUCAAAAUCCCCAAAUCGAAAUCUCAAAAUCCCUUUGAUUUUCGCCGACCGUCUACUAAAUCGUCGUUCACUGUCUCCUCUGCUGCAUCGCCGUCGACUCUCCUUUAUCGUAUCGCCAUCACACUCUUCUAUCGCACUGCCGUGUGCCCAAGGGCCUCAAGUGCAGAAUUUGCUAGAGCGGCUUACUGGUCAACACACUGUCCCAAAUGUUUUUAUUUGGGGUAAACACAUCGGUGGUUGUAUAGGCGUAAUUUUAUCCUUAAAAAUGUUAUAGAAAAAGUUUUGUUAUUGACUCGGAGAAAGGAGAAAUACUUAGUAGUUGCUGCAGUUCGCUUUGUUCGCACGAUUCUCGCUCGUCAUGGUGUUAUGCUAGCUCGAGUUAGAGAUCACCGAAGAUGCUAUCACACUAUCAAGCUAUCAUGUUGAGUACAAGUGAAUGCAAACCCUUUUGAGUUUAUGGCAUGUAUAAGGACUUAGUCAUUUGGUGUAUGAGUCAUUAUGAUUUGGCUAAAUACAUUAGCUUGUGAUGGUUAAAGGUUGGAUGUAAUUUGUAGCCAUGCAAAUUGGCUUAUAUUAGCUAAAUGGCUGUAAGCCCAUAUAAGUGUGUAUGUGCAUAUGUCAAUGUUUUUUGAUGUGGUUUGUAUUUGCUUGAUAUUUGUUAGUUAUGAGUUUAUUCAUAUGUUAAUGCCCUUUGAGUUUGAAUUUAA
Molecule: long non-coding RNA, 866 nt
Organism: Gossypium arboreum
Lineage: Eukaryota; Viridiplantae; Streptophyta; Magnoliopsida; Malvales; Malvaceae
Exons: 5
Source: RefSeq, a predicted model, not a curated record